Molecule: long non-coding RNA, 856 nt
Organism: Arachis stenosperma
Lineage: Eukaryota; Viridiplantae; Streptophyta; Magnoliopsida; Fabales; Fabaceae
Exons: 5
Source: RefSeq, a predicted model, not a curated record
UUGUUACAGCUUCUAAUGAUGUUUCAUUAACAAGUUCAGGUCAAUGAGGCUCUCAUGGGGUUUCUAGCUAAGAUAAUUCAAGCGAAAGCAAAUUAAGGGAUCUCCUAGACAGCUCAAAAUACAUGCUUACCUUUGGGAGCAUUUAUCUGUGGAGAGGAACAGAGUUUCUUGUGUUAAGUUGUUUUCGGAAGCAAGGAAUAAUCUUCUUCCAGUUUCAUCUUUCGUCAUUCGCCCGCUUAGCUCUACGAAAGAUCACAAGGCCUUGGCUCAAUUAGAGGUAAAAAACAAAUUGCUGAGCAGUAAAGAAGGAUUUGUGUAGGGAAUUGAGGUUCCACUUCUAGGGAGAUUCAUUAUUCAUGUUCAGUUCCUCGAUUUGAAAACUUCAUCUUCAAAUGUGGACUACAACGAUAAGGUCUUAUCAUUAGAAAAGAAGAUGGACGGUAUUUGUGGUAUAUUAAAGGUGAUAUUGCACCAACUCAAUCCUGGAAUGAGUGACGAAGAGGUAGCAGUCUUAGUGCAAGCAGUCCAAAAUUCUCCUUUGGAUGCCUCAAGUAGUAGACCAAGAAAUACUCUUCACUCCUCCGAAGCAACUCACAUUCCACCAACCGAUGAUAUAAGGCAGUGGUAAAAACAAUGGAGCUCAUAAUAAAUAAUCACACUACUCAUGGAAUUUGAUAUUUUGUAAAAGAAGUAGAUAUGUGACACUUAUUGGAAUUGCAAUUCUUAUUUACUUCUUAUGGCUUUACUUUUUGGUACUUUAUCAUCAAAAUCUACUUUUGUGGUGACAAGUUUUAUAUGUAUGUCUUUUUUAUGGGAAAGUUUAUAUAUAUGUUGGAUGAGUUCAAUAUAUAUAAUU